AUUGAACGCUGGCGGCAUGCCUUACGCAUGCAAGUCGAACGGUAACAGGUCUUCGGAUGCUGACGAGUGGCGAACGGGUGAGUAAUACAUCGGAACGUGCCUAGUAGUGGGGGAUAACUACUCGAAAGAGUGGCUAAUACCGCAUGAGAUCUACGGAUAAAAGCAGGGGAUCGCAAGACCUUGUGCUACUAGAGCGGCCGAUGGCAGAUUAGGUAGUUGGUGGGAUAAAAGCUUACCAAGCCGACGAUCUGUAGCUGGUCUGAGAGGACGAUCAGCCACACUGGGACUGAGACACGGCCCAGACUCCUACGGGAGGCAGCAGUGGGGAAUUUUGGACAAUGGGCGAAAGCCUGAUCCAGCAAUGCCGCGUGCAGGAUGAAGGCCUUCGGGUUGUAAACUGCUUUUGUACGGAACGAAAAGCCCCGGGUUAAUACCCUGGGGUCAUGACGGUACCGUAAGAAUAAGCACCGGCUAACUACGUGCCAGCCGCUGCCGUAA
RNAcentral lists this ribosomal RNA (498 nucleotides) under uncultured bacterium. Its description in RNAcentral is "partial 16S ribosomal RNA". It matches the Rfam family "Bacterial small subunit ribosomal RNA", at positions 30 to 523 of the family's 1533-position model. The record is from RNAcentral.